Molecule: long non-coding RNA, 2727 nt
Organism: Nyctereutes procyonoides (raccoon dog)
Lineage: Eukaryota; Metazoa; Chordata; Mammalia; Carnivora; Canidae
Exons: 5
Source: RefSeq, a predicted model, not a curated record
AGUGCGUGAAAGGGGGGGCGUGACCGCUUGUAAGGGCCUGACAGAGUUGGUCGAGACUGCGGAAGAGGUGAGCUCGAGCAAAGGGCAGUGGAAUUACCAGAGUGGAAAGGAGGAACGUGGGCACAAGGGAGAGACGUGGGUUCAGAGGAAUGAGCUCGAUCCCGGGAUAACAAGGAUGUGGAGAAGACCCGUGGAGAGGCGGGGCCCCGGAGUAGCGCCAGGUCGAAGCGGGGGUGGGUCCAGGCAGAAGGCAGAGGCGGGGCCAAGUUAGUGCGCAAGCGCGCGGCCGCAACUUCAGGCCCGGAGCAACAGCAGUAGAGGUGUAGCCCGGGCAGAGAACGGGUGCAGACCCAGGCUCUGGGUGCAUGGAGAGCAGAUUCUGGCUCCGACGCGGUGAGCGAGCCCAAGGACUUAAACUGCUUUGUCGGAGACCUGGGCCCGGGCGACGGGGACGUGGCUUGACGUAAUUAAGCGAGAUGACGUACCCGGCGUGAGGGGCGUGGCGAAUCGUAACCGGACGUAGCCAAGAUGGCCGCGCGCAUGAGUCUCCUCGGUGCAGAGCGGAGGGGUCCGCGGCCCGGGAAACUUUCGGGUUAUUAGGUUCCUGCAAGUUAUUUGGGGCCCAAUCAAGAUUUCAAGCUAAACAUGGCAGUGAUGAGUAGCCUGAGGGCCAUUCUUCAAGCCUCUCCAUGCAAGUCACUUUGGAGAAGAUACCAGAUCCCCACGUUCAUGCCAGGAAGGCCCUGCAGCUGCACGUAACGAAACCUGGAACCAAGCCUAUGAAGCGAAGCUGAGUGAAGUUAAGUGCUUUCCUGCCAGGUCACAGCGCUGACAGAUGGAGAACUGGAUUGAAAAUCUGUGGACCACACUCUGUGCAGAGCCUCUGAGCUCCUGCAGGCUCAGCAGGUGCAGCCUCCUGCAAGCUCUGGAGUCUGAGUGUUUUAAGGGUACCCAAGAUUUGUUUUAAACAGCUACAUAUCACAGAGAGCUACAGAAAUUGAUGGAUACGGUGCAGUCAAGCAUAAGGACACCCUUGUGGAAUUUGGGUCAUUUGAUCCUUCCUGCCUGAUGCCUGCCUGCCCAGAUUACUGGACCUACUCGGGGUCCUUGACUACCCCUCCACUCUCUGAGUCUGUCACCUGGAUCAUUAAGAAGCAGCCUGUAGAGGUUGAUCAUGAUCAGGUAUGUUCUGUCCACAUUUCUGUAUGAGGAAAUGCUAGUCUGUCCCUUUAAAAACAAGGCUGGGCUCCAACUUUGGCAUCCGUUGUUAACAUCUUGUAAUGCUUAUACAUUUUUAUUAAGAUGUGCUAUAACAUUGUCUCAGUUUGGACAUGAAAUUGGAAAUACUUCAAAUUAACCAGAGAGGAGUUAACACAUAGAGGAACAUAAGCUUUUUGCUCUCAUUUUACAGUAACAUGUGUUUUACUGUAUAUGCAUUGUGCAGAAUCUCUGAAAAUUAAGACCUUUAAAUGGAAAAAAUGAAGGCUGGAAACCCUUUGAUAUUUCUUUAUUCAUUUAUUAUUAAAGUGUAGGUUAUACACAAUGUUAUAUUAGUUUCAGGUGUACAACAUGGUGAUUUGACAAUCCAUAUGUUAUGCUGUGUUCACCACAAGUAUAGCUACCAUCUGUCACCAUACAAGUCUAUUACAAUACCACUGACUAUAUUCUCUGUGCUUUUUAUCUUUCAUCCUCAUGACUUAUUAAUUUCAUUACUGGAAGCCUGUACCUCCCACUCCUCUCACCGGUUUUUCUCAUCCCCCCCAUCCCUGAUAUUCCCUCCCCUCUAGCAAAUAUCUUUUUUUAUAUAUAUUUUAUUUAUUUAUUCAUGAGAGACACACACAGAGAAAGGUAGAGACAUAGGCAGAGAGAAGCAGGCUCCAUGCAGGGAGCCCGAUGUGGGACUCGAUCGCGGGACUCCAGGAUCACACCCUGGGCCAAAGGCAGAUGCUCAAUCGCUGAGCCACCCAGGUGUCCCCCCUCUGGCAAAUAUAAUUCAGAGUUUAUUCUCUGUAUUGAUGCAAAAACCUUAAUUUUCUUAAGAGAACUUACUGUGAAAUUUCAAGGUAAAGACAGAGCCCAACAGUAUCUAUACAGAAAUUUUAUUCUAAGUCAGAGGUUUUGACUUGGUAAUUGUUCUUCAUUUAGAAAUGAAAGUUUAGGGGCACCUGGGUGGCUCAGUGGUUGAGCGUCUGCCUUUGGCUUGGGUCAUGGUCCCGGGGUCCCGGGGUCUAGUAACAUCAGGCUCCCUGCAGGGUGCCUACUUCUCCCUCUGUGUCUCUGCCUCUCUCUCUCUGUGUGUAUCUCUCAUGAAAAAAUAAAUAAAAUCUUAAAAAAAAGAAAAGAAAUGAGAGUUUCAGUGGUGGUUACUAUGUCAACACAAAAUGUUUAAUUCAAAAAUGAACUAACUGUAAUAAUAAUUGCUUUUACUUGUUUUUUUUUUUUUGGAAUUCUGAUUAAAAAAUUUUUACAAGAACAGAAGCUUCCAAGUUCUUUUUUAUGAAGCCAAGACAACAAUGAAACCAAAACCCACCAAAGAUUGGACACUCCCCAAAAAGUAAAUACUAAGCCCCUAAAGUAAUAUCUGUCAAGAAUAUUUAGGAAAAAAACUAAAUAAAAUGUUAGAAUCCACCAGUAUAUUAGAUAGGAUUUUUUUCUAGUAGGAUUUGUCCACAUAGGAUUUUUUUCUAGUUAUAAGGAUCAUUCAGUAUUAGGAAUCAUAUACUUAUG